This 1081-nucleotide unclassified non-coding RNA is filed under the name Hevea brasiliensis (rubber tree). Lineage: Eukaryota; Viridiplantae; Streptophyta; Magnoliopsida; Malpighiales; Euphorbiaceae. The record is from RNAcentral.
CACUUUCAACGACCUAUACUUCUUUAAUAAUUAAAGCAUUUCUUGAAGUUGCAAAAAGAUGUUAAUUUAUUAAUUAGUUAAUUGCCCACUUGGAGAUUAAUUAAUUAUUGUCUUUAGUCAUCAUCAUUGUUCAGAUUAUUAUCAUGCGAUCAUGAUAGGUUAGUUGCUUCAAAUUUACUAGGGAAAAAGAAAAAGAUAAGGCAAGAUUGGAUGGGCCAAAAUACAUGAAUCCAAAAGCAUCUUCAGUUACUUAGGAUCUAAGUUACAAGAAGGAGAAAUGAAGAAGAGGCCAAAAACACAUGAACAAAGUGAAAAUAAUUCUAAUAUACCGUAAAGAAAAAGAAAAUUACAUAUUGAAUAUCAAGGAAUUAUAACAGAGAGAUGAAAGAAACCUCAAAACUCCAUUAUCUUUUCCCAAUCUAUACCCAAGAAUGAGUCUUGUCAAAGAUCCUGGAAGGGACUGCAAACCUAGCGGAGAAAGAGCGAGACAUGUUAUCAGGAUCAGACCACAUUGAGCCUUGAUCGAAAUUCUGAGAGUAGGUAUAAGGAUCAUAAGAGAAAUGCAUCCGACCACUGGCAGAAGAGCAAUCAAAAAAUUUCUUCUUUUCCCUCAUUAUUUUCCUCCACAACAACCUCCAUCUCGGUCUCUUAGAUGCGGAACUGCUCUCCAACACAUUAAACGACGACACGAUUCGAUCAUACCGGCCAUUCAUGUAGGCAUCCAUGGUAGAGCUAGCAGUGCCGGAACUGCACCAGUUGCCAAGUUCCAUGGUAGCUAGCUAGACAGAUCUUGGAAGUUCAAAUUUUGGGUUUGUCAAGUGCCAGCAGCUGUAGCUCUCUGGUUCUUAUAUAGAGCAAUAUAAUAGCAAGUCUGAAUGUCAAAGUUGCACAUAUACAAGUUGAUUAAUUUUAAGACCUGACCACAUGGAAUAAUUGAGGGGUAAAGUUGUCAUUUUUAUAGGGUAUACAUGGCAUAGCCAGUAUUUAAUCCUGAAAUUAAGUAGCAUGUAUACAUGUUAGUUGGACUUUGUUACAACAAUUUGAAUGUUUCAUGGCUGAGUUGACUGGCAAUUGAUCGAUG